GAUGAACGCUGGCGGCGUGCCUAAUACAUGCAAGUCGAGCGAACAGACGAGGAGCUUGCUCCUCUGACGUUAGCGGCGGACGGGUGAGUAACACGUGGAUAACCUACCUAUAAGACUGGGAUAACUUCGGGAAACCGGAGCUAAUACCGGAUAAUAUAUUGAACCGCAUGGUUCAAUAGUGAAAGACGGUUUUGCUGUCACUUAUAGAUGGAUCCGCGCCGCAUUAGCUAGUUGGUAAGGUAACGGCUUACCAAGGCAACGAUGCGUAGCCGACCUGAGAGGGUGAUCGGCCACACUGGAACUGAGACACGGUCCAGACUCCUACGGGAGGCAGCAGUAGGGAAUCUUCCGCAAUGGGCGAAAGCCUGACGGAGCAACGCCGCGUGAGUGAUGAAGGUCUUCGGAUCGUAAAACUCUGUUAUUGGGGAAGAACACAUGUGUAAGUACCUAUGCACGUCUUGACGAUACCUAAUCAGAAAGCCACGGCUAACUACGUG
RNAcentral lists this ribosomal RNA (497 nucleotides) under uncultured bacterium. Its description in RNAcentral is "partial 16S ribosomal RNA". It matches the Rfam family "Bacterial small subunit ribosomal RNA", at positions 28 to 507 of the family's 1533-position model. The record is from RNAcentral.